This is a long non-coding RNA of Chelonia mydas (Green sea turtle), 6908 nucleotides long. RefSeq lists it as uncharacterized. The transcript has 4 exons. NCBI's taxonomy places the organism in Eukaryota, Metazoa, Chordata, Testudines, Cheloniidae. The record is from RefSeq and is a predicted model, not a curated record.
AUGCCCAAUAGCAGGCCAAAGAGUUACAGCUUUCUGUAGCUCCCAGAGGUGGCACCUCCUGACACCAGGUUCGACAGCAGCGGAGAGGUCCCCCAUUGCAACACUGACACAGCUCACACCUGCCUAGCUGGCAGAGCCCGAGCUGGGCUGUGGUCUCUGCCUUGCUCUCUUCGUGCGUGGAGAUGACGGUGCCGCUGAAAGGCCGAAGCAGCAGGAACACUUCUGAGAAGCAGGGCCAGCACGUCAGGGUCCCUCCAGCCCCCUGGGUAGCUCACAGGCCCCGGUGGGCAGGGCCAGGGAAAUCAAAAGCACCACGCUGCCUGAACCCCUCCAUCACCAUCAGUCCCUAGCCCCCAGGUACAGCGCCGACCCUCACCCCCAGCGCAAACAGCCCCCGACAGCCAGGCCCUACCCUGGGCAGCUGCGGGUGAGAAUCCAGCUGAACAACGGCCACAGAUAAGGAACAAGCCAGCAUGCGGCCGCAACUGACAAAAGUGCAACUAAAAUGAGGACUGGUUUCCUUUGUCACCCCUCCCCCCCUGCUUCCUCAUUUGAAGCUGAGUGGUGAAGGGGAGGGGGGGAGCAAGUGCUGUCCACCUGUGCGAGCUGGCACUGGGCACGGGGAAGCACCCACUGGGCACCCAUGCCUGGGGUGUGGAGCAGGAAUAGCGCCACGAGGAAUAGCGCUCUCGAACAGCCUGGCAUUUGGGCGGCAGCUGGCUGCCUGGGGAAGCAUAUGGCUCUGGAGGGGCUCUGAGCAGUGCCUGCUGGAAGUUGAGAUUACAAAACAAUUUCCAUUCUAAGCAGCUGUUUUCCAACUCCCAUGGAUUCUGGGCUGAAAUGAGCCUCCGGGCUCAAGCGGAUUAUGGUUUAAUUUAUCUACUGUUUUGCUUGUGCAAAGUUUGAGCAAAAUCUCCUGGAUCAGUUUUGACUGGCUGAGCCCCACCCCACUCUUGCCCUCCCCUUCCUGUCUGCAAAACCGAUGGCUGCCCUGGGUGUGCUGCAAAGAUAACUCCAAGCUGGCUGCGCUCUGACACCCGCCUGCACAGAGCCCUCGGCAAGGAGCAUGGCUUGCGGCUGGGACCACGCUUGAUAAAAUGACACGGCUAAAACGGGAACAAAUCCAUGGCUGCCUAGCACUUCCCAAGCGUUGCCAUGUGUCACGCUGCAGCCGAGCAGGGGCCGAACUCACAUCCCCCCUGUGGCAAAAGCACAGGCCCCUGCCUCAUCUGCUAAAGGUGAAUCUCCUUUAAGCAGUACGGGGCCUAUGCCACACAGCUGAAUCUUUCUAAUCCAUCUGCUCAAGGACAGUGGUCCAGCGGAGCGCCUCUCUGUGGCAGUGGGGAGCACUGGUCCAACUCCCCCAGGCUCCUGGUCCACCAGUUCUGUAGACACCCCCAUCUCGGACAUUCCCAUCAAAACUGCAUCUGUUCCUGGCCUUGGCUCCUCCAGGUGGUUGCCACCCAAGGGCGGAGGUGCCUGCAUGUCAUUCUGCUCCCGAGGGCCUUACCAUCCAACCAUCGCUUCACUGGACUUGAAAAGACAAGGGGCCAAUUUGCUCGAGGAUGGUACCUGGGAUCGACGCUGGCUGGAGUGUAUUGAAACGUUGGGUACAGCCCAUCCCAUGUCAUAGAAUCAUAGAAUAUCAGGGUUGGAAGGGACCUCAGGAGGUCAUCUAGUCCAACCCCCUGCUCAAAGCAGGACCAUCCCCAAUUUUUGCCCUAGAUCCCUAAAUGGCCCCCUCAAGGAUUGAACUCACAACCCUGGGUUUAGCAGGUCAAUGCUCCAACCACUGAGCUAUCCCUCCACACUUGGGCCCAGCUCUUUGUCUUUAGUGUAAUAGGCAUGGGGUUGUUUUCGGAAAGCUUGUUGCCUAAGCACUUCCCCCUCCAGGCUGGGAUGGAUUAGAUCCACAUGAGCUCUUAUCUUCCUGCCCAUCGAUAGCCAGGUGGGCUCGCACCCAGCGCAGUCAGAGCACUGGUUCUGUAUUUCCAGGGAAAUCGAGCUAGCUUCAUUCCCGAGCUGCCAUUAAUCAUCUUUUCAUCCCCUCUUUAAAGAUCCUCUCAGCUCUCUCUGUGAGGCCAUUGCAGGCUGGAUGAGAUGGGGAAGUUUGAAUAGGUUUAAUCCCAUGUUUGUUCAGAAAGUCUUUGAAUUCCAUGCUUGUAAAAGCUGGUCCAUUGUCUGUGCCGAGGACCCCCUGGUAGCCCGUGUGAGGUUUAAGGCUGUCAGAGCCUUUCCCAGGUAGCAGUGCAGGUCAUUGAGCUCAUCACAUGCUCAUGGGGCAAUUUGAUGCCUGGCAUCAGGGAGGGACAAGGGAAAAGUGUCAAAUCGUUGCAGGUCUCCUGGGCCUUGGGCCAGUGGCAUAUGCUGUUUGCUGCCGUCUACAAGAGUCUGCAAACUUCCGCUUUCAAGGUGACCUGCAAAGCGUGUGCAUGUACGUGCCCACGUGUAUGUGUGUGGCAUGUAUGCGAUGUGUGCACACACAGGUGUGUGUGUGUGUGUGUGUCCAUAUGCAUGCAUGUGUGUGCAUUUUCUAGCCAGUGCCAAUCUGACCCCCGAGCAAUAGUGUUUAACAGCCGUUACCGUCGCACAGCUCUGGGCGGCCUGUGCAAAGUGUGGGUGAACUCGCUGCAGUUCCUAGGGGAGCCCCACGCUUGUCCCCCUCGUCGGCAGCCUCGUGAGAGAGGCCCCAGCACUGGGCUGCGGAGUUGGGCCUCCCCUCUCGCACCCAGAGACGCUCACUCCCAGGGCGGGCCGGCCAACUGGCUGAGUCAAACGGGAGUGAAGCAGGGCUGGGGCUGGGGAUAAACAGGGCAGUUCGGGGCUUGCGAGCCUUUAUUUGGCUCCACAUUCUUGUAAAACCCCAAAAGGCUGCUGCUGAUCUCGCUGGCAAAGUCAGCAAGGAAAGGACUGGCAGAUAACGACCAGCUUUGCUGCUCCCGCUGGUGGAGGACGCUGAUGGGUCGUGCCUGGGGAGAGGCUUGUCCUGUCCUGCGGAGCUGUCCUCUCUGCAGCGCCUGAGCGAUUCCGCUCAUGGGCCCAGCGAACAAGACUGGCCUUUUUCUCAACCCGUAGGAGAGAGGGGGCUGGACAGGGCUGGGCUUUUGGGGCAUCGGUUAGCUGUGCCUUGCGCUGCUGCGUGUCUCCUUGGGCCGAUGGCGGCGCAUUAAAGGGUUAUGUCACGCGGGUCAGUUCGGCGGAUGUCGAUGAUGGAGAGGCGCGUGUGAAACCAAAUGCCAGCGAAAAAACUGGCAGGCAACUGACACGCCUAAGCCAGCAUGGGAGCUGCAUGCCAGCUAACCUUGUCUGUGCAGAAACAAAGGGAAAUGAUCAACCAAGAACCACUGACAAUCACAGGAAACGGACGCCAUUGAGGUACACCCACAUGUGGAGCACUAUGAAUAGCCAGGCAGAGAUGGUCUUUAGAAACGCCUACUGUGUCUAGUCUCAAACCCCGGUGUGAUGAUCAGAGGCACCGGUCACAGCGUAACCAACAAAUGGCUGCGUACCCGCUCAGCCCCCUUGGGCGUUAGCAGGGAUUGAAACUUGGCCCAUCACCACUACGGGUGCAGGCCGCAGAGUCUCGAGCCAAACGAGAGCUCCUGUAACUGGGCGACAGUCGUAGCCUUGUGCAGCUGGAUGCUCAGGAAACGAUACCGUUGCCUGUAUUUGCAGCAGGCGUCCAAUCUGACCCAGGAGGAAUUAAUGAUCUCCGGGCAGGUAAAUAUACAGCCAAAAAACGUCCCCGUCGUUUUGUUGGUUCGCUGGAGUUUUGCUCAUUUACCAGGCUCCAGUCCCGCAGCGGCUCAAGUCCCUCAAGCCCCUUGUCGUUCAAAUGCGCUGUCGUCAGAAACGUUCAAACUCGGCUGCCUGGAGCGAGACCCCUCCAGCUGAAUGUAGCCACCCAGAUGUAGAGGCAGCCUGAUUUGCAGAGGCACCGAAUGUGCACAAACCCGCCAGCGCGGGGGGGGUGGCAAUCAGCAAAUCAGACUGCUUAUUUCAGACUGGGCUUUGAAAGGCUCUUUAAGGAAAUUAGGCAGUGGGGGAAGGGCACCUAUGGAUUUAGGGGUCCAACUGUGGGCCCUCAGGGUUGAACAUUUUGGCUUGUGUUUGCCCCUUUUCACGGCUGGGGGCCAUCACUCAUUAGGGAUAACUAGUAGCAUUUGGCAAAGAAAAGAAACACCCGUGGAAGGAGCUGGAUUGUACGUGCGAUCGCUUGGAAAGCCACAUGCACUGCUGCGGUCCUUGCUCAGCAGGUGCAAAGAGUAGCUAAGAAGCGUAAGGGCUUAUCUCAGGAGGAUCUUACAUCUCUGCAAGUGAAGGGGUGAUUCUGCGAUACGCCCUCCCAGGGCAGGGAGGGGCCCAGAAUAAACAAGCAGCCAGGGUUAACGGAUCUACCAAGCUCUGAACACUACAGCAAGACCUACGUAACUAGGGCGCUGUUCUUCUGUGUGUCUGCAGUGUGAUGCUGGUGAGCUGGGACAGGUCACCCUCCUGCUAUUGAUUGCUCCACACACAGGACCAUAUUAUGGAAUAAGUCUCCUAAAUUCCGCCUGCCCACUGACAAAUCCCUGCCCAUUCGUAAGAACAGAGUUAUAAUGCCAGCCACUAAACGGUAGUGAACCACCACACCCGCAAUUCUUUAGCAUGCAACCAGGACCGCAGAUCUGGUCUAUGCUGGGGAUAUUUGCAUCCCUGCAAUUCUACACCGUAGCGGCAACACAGAGUAAGCCAUACGGGGUCAGCCCCAUAGUGCAUCAGUGCAGGAUGUCUGCACUAGGGGGUGGGAGGAAGGGAUGUUGCAGAGAUGGGUUUUAUGGGUUUUAUCCCAAGAAGCCAUAAAUCUGGCCAGUGGGGAAGCUGGAACAAGAGGUGAUCAAAUGAAUUAAAGUCCUCAGCUCCACCGCUGCGUUAAGGGUCAUUUAGUGUCUCAGGCUUUGCUGUUAGAUUUGAAAAAAUGGGAACAUUAUAAACCAGCACUAAGAGACCCAGCCUCCUGUUGGGCAAUCUGGCCAUGGCAAGUGAUGGUUUGAUUUUUGUUUCUCUCAUAUGGAACAAGAAGAAAGCAGGAUUUCCUGCCCCGAAACUAGUUCAGACUUGGAGGAGUGUUGUGCAUGGAUGCAGAAGGACAUCUAGUGGCUGAUAACUGCACUGCACCCCAGGUUCCUACAGGCCAGUUUCCUUCCCUGAGAUGAUCAUCUGGCUACGUCUGGAGGACAGAAGUCGGACAAUGGUGACAGCUAUUGAAUCACCCAGGCCAAUUCCUGAAGCAGUUCAGGUUUGAUCCUCGCUGCAGCUGGGCAGAGGCAACUAGUGUUGCCAGCGCUGGGGAUAUUUGGGGGUUUUCUUAAAGCCCCAACUCCUGGAAUCAGGCUGGUUUGCCAGAAUCCCCACGUUCGUUUCAAAAGAAAAGGUUCCAGCCCUCAUGGCAACAGAGAUGGAAAACGUGAGGUGAGUGCACCUGAGAGGCUCAGAAAAGCCCCCCCCCCCUUACUAGUUAAAAGAAUCUUGUGAUUUGGGGGGUCUGAUUCCUCAUUUUUGAACCCAGGGAGUUGGCCAUAUAAUGUCUUCGGGAGCCUCAGGAUGCUGAGCUAAGCUGGCCACUUUCUCAUAGAUUCAGUGUCUUUCCUUUGGCUGCUUGCUCCUGUCUGAUCGCAAGACUGGCUGCAUUCAGCCCUUCUCCUCAUUCCAGCCAGGCAGGACCCAGGUAAAACACUCCCCACCUGCCACUCACCGUGAUGUCCUGGCCCAUCCUUCAGGGUGGUGGCACGUAUGCAUGGUGCAGGGAUAGGCGUCGUCUGCUCCAGAGAUGGGUGGGAAGCUCCUAUGGGCUGAAGCCAUGAGACAAACCUGCAGGGAGCAGCCGGCUGGGAUCCAAUGACAAGGCAGGAGGGGAAGGGAAGAGCGGGCAAGUCACCUGGCAGAAAGGAGGCAGCAAAGCAGGUGCAAAUGCAACGUGUCCUGUCCCCAAGCUUAGCAAUCAUCCUCCCUCCUCUGCGCCUCUAGGGAUCCAGAGCUCGCCUUGUCCCGGGCCGCUCCAGAGACCCUGGGGAGGAAUUUCUCCAGUCCACUUCCCCACCUUGACAGUAAACACUUUUAGAUCCUCUCUUGCCUGGGAGUUAUGGGGGAACCCCCGCAAUGCCGAUUGGGUCAGGGGAGGACAGGGAUGGCAAAGGUGCGCAGUCCUGUGUCAAUCCAAAACACGUCCUGCUCCCCAGGGUGGAGGGUGAUGGGGGGGGGAGUCCGCAGGGUGGGUCAGGGUGGCUUGGAACGGGCCACUGGGCAGAUGGGAGGCAGCUGAGCGCCCAGCGCAGGGCCCCAGGCCAUCCAGGCAGGAGCGGGGCGAGCUGAGAAAUGACACUCGGACCAGAAGCUGCCCGGGAUGGUAGCUACUCCUUUAUUAUAAAUCAUGCCGGUAUUUUGCGCCUUCUUCUCAGAGUUAGUAUUUUAAACAAUUUUUGUUAUAAUAUAUUUAUAUAAAAUCGUGAAAACAACGCCUCCCCCCCCGGAGUAAGCGUCGGAAUGGAACAUUCCACCAGGAAGGAAGACAAUUAAUACCCACGCGCCAGCCUAUCAGGAGCCAGCCAGCACCCGAGAGGCUGUGAUUGGCUGGGCAGGACGGACUGCUCCAUUCACUCAGUCCCCCUCCCCGGCCCGAGGCCUGCUUCCCAGCGCCAUGGCAGCCAUGGAGCACGCUCAGUUUCCCAGAGGCGGACAGCGAUGCCCUUCAGGAGACCCGGCACGGAGCAAGGCGAGAGCAGGACCAGAGCAUGCUGAUUGGCUGUCGAGGACCACCCUGCCCUCCCCAGUGUGGCGGGCAGGGUUGUUGGCACCAUCUGGAGGCUGUUGGCUGGUGCCCGCAGGACCCAGCUGUGCUACUAAAUAAAUAACAAAUGUCAGAAUUUCAA